GACGAACGCUGGCGGCGUGCUUAACCCAUGCAAGUCGAACGAGUGGCGAACGGAUGAGUAAUACGUGGGUAACCUGCCCUCCUUUUUGGGAUAAGCCUUGGAAACGGGGUCUAAUACCGAAUAGUGAGGGAUGGGGUAGCGGCCUAUCAGCUUGUUGGUGGGGUGAUGGCUACCAAGGCGUGACGGGUACCCGGCCUGAGAGGGUGACCGGCCAGAUUGGGACUGAGAUACGGCCCAGACUCCUACGGGAGGCAGCAGUGGGGGAUAGUACACAAUGGGCGAAAGCCUGAUGCAGCAACGCCGGGUGAAGGAAGACGGUCUUCGGAUUGUAAACUUCUUUAGACAGGGACGCGGUACCUGUAGAAUAAGCCACGGCUAACUACGUGCCAGCAGCCGCGGUAAUUC
RNAcentral lists this ribosomal RNA (405 nucleotides) under uncultured bacterium. RNAcentral's name for it is "partial 16S ribosomal RNA". It matches the Rfam family "Bacterial small subunit ribosomal RNA", at positions 28 to 526 of the family's 1533-position model. The record is from RNAcentral.